Molecule: ribosomal RNA, 429 nt
Filed under: Acidobacteriota bacterium
Lineage: Bacteria; Pseudomonadati; Acidobacteriota
Description: Acidobacteria bacterium partial 16S ribosomal RNA
Rfam family: Bacterial small subunit ribosomal RNA
Source: RNAcentral
UGGGGAAUUUUGGACAAUGGGGGAAACCCUGAUCCAGCCAUCCCGCGUGUGCGAUGAAGGCCUUCGGGUUGUAAAGCACUUUUGUCAGGAAAGAAACGUCAUGGGUUAAUACCCCGUGAAACUGACGGUACCUGCAGAAUAAGCACCGGCUAACUACGUGCCAGCAGCCGCGGUAAUACGUAGGGUGCAAGCGUUAAUCGGAAUUACUGGGCGUAAAGCGUGCGCAGGCGGUUCGGAAAGAAAGAUGUGAAAUCCCAGAGCUCAACUUUGGAACUGCAUUUUUAACUACCGGGCUAGAGUGUGUCAGAGGGAGGUGGAAUUCCGCGUGUAGCAGUGAAAUGCGUAGAUAUGCGGAGGAACACCGAUGGCGAAGGCAGCCUCCUGGGAUAAAACUGACGCUCAUGCACGAAAGCGUGGGGAGCAAACAGG